Molecule: ribosomal RNA, 773 nt
Filed under: uncultured Neocallimastigales
Lineage: Eukaryota; Fungi; Neocallimastigomycota; Neocallimastigomycetes; Neocallimastigales
Description: partial large subunit ribosomal RNA
Rfam family: Eukaryotic large subunit ribosomal RNA
Source: RNAcentral
AUGUGAUCGUCUCUCGCAUAUCAAUAAGCGGAGGAAAAGAAACUAACAAGGAUUCCCCUAGUAACGGCGAGUGAAGCGGGAAGAGCUCAAAUUUGAAAUCUUAAAGGGUUUCCCUUUGCGAAUUGUAGUUUAAAGAAGUGUUUUCUGUUGAGGUUUUGGUAAAAGUUCUUUGGAAUAGGACAUCAUAGAGGGUGAGAAUCCCGUAUUUGACCUUUACUUUCAACUUUGUGAUACACUUUCAAAGAGUCGGAUUGUUUGGGAAUGCAGUCCAAAAUGGGUGGUAAAUUUCAUCUAAAGCUAAAUAUUGGCGAGAGACCGAUAGCGAACAAGUACCGUGAGGGAAAGAUGAAAAGAACUUUGAAAAGAGAGUUAAACAGUACGUGAAAUUGUCAAAAGGGAAGCGUUUGACACCAGUGUUGUUUUUCUGAAAAUCAAUUAAAGAACUGUUUAUGCUAAGCUGUUUAGACUUUAUCAGCUAUCUGUUUAGUUUUGAGCUUUUCUUUAAUGCACUUUUCAGUUAACAAGUCAACAUCAAUUUCUUUUGCUGUAAAAAAGCUUGAGGAAGGUGGCUUGAGAUUCGUCUUAAGUGUUUAUAGCCUCUUGCCUAUGCAGUCGGAGAGAUUGAGGUCUGCAGCGUAGAUCCUUCGGGGCUAAAUGCAUUUGUGCUAAGUUAUAGCAUUUUAUAGACAACUUGUUGACUAUGAUUUGUCUUGUAGCUUACUCGCUUAUGUUAUUUUACCUACGCUUAGGAUGUUGAGCGCAUGUCUCUCUCU